GUAGGGUGCGAGCGUUGCCCGGAUUUAUUGGGCGUAAAGGGCGCGUAGGCGGCCACGCACGUCCGUUGUGAAAUCGCCCGGCUCAACUGGGCGGGGUCAGCGGAUACGGUGUGGCUAGAGCAAGCUAGGGGGCAAUGGAAUUCCCGGUGUAGUGGUGGAGUGCGUAGAUAUCGGGAGGAACACCAGUGGCGAAGGCGGUUGCCUGGGGCUUUGCUGACGCUGAUGCGCGAAAGCGUGGGGAGCGAUCCGGAUUAGAUACCCGGGUAGUCCACGCUGUAAACGAUGCGGACUAGGUGUCGGGGGUAUCGACCCCCUCGGCGCCGCAGCUGACGCAUUAAGUCCGCCGCCUGGGGACUACGGCCGCAAGGCUA
RNAcentral lists this ribosomal RNA (371 nucleotides) under uncultured bacterium. RNAcentral describes it as "bacterial SSU rRNA". It matches the Rfam family "Bacterial small subunit ribosomal RNA", at positions 527 to 896 of the family's 1533-position model. The record is from RNAcentral.